CUACCCCAAAAUAGGAGCCCAACCUGAUCGGGGAGCGGGCGGAGCACCGGCAAUAGCAAUUGAAGGCUGCAUUCAGAUUGCUUCAGUAGGCCACUGAGGACCCUAUGGAAGAGAACCCCCAAUAGUAAGGACUGCAGGCCCUAUUGGGAGCAAUCGUGCGGUCGAUGGCCAUCCCUCUUGAAAACACAUGCUCCGUAGAAACACCAUGAAAGACUAUCAUUGAAGCCACACUCGCUCUGAAUAUGGCACUGGAGUAAUCCCUCAAGGCCAUAGAUCCGCACUUCCUCCAGGCA
RNAcentral lists this long non-coding RNA (293 nucleotides) under Elaeis guineensis (African oil palm). RNAcentral's name for it is "long non-coding RNA (EGUI_LNC014883)". Lineage: Eukaryota; Viridiplantae; Streptophyta; Magnoliopsida; Arecales; Arecaceae. The record is from RNAcentral.